GCGGCCCAGGUAAAAGAACUGUCUGUCUGACUCCUUUGGCUGAAAGAUAUCGUAAAUCACUUCUGGUGCUGCUGCAAAACAGCCGACUCCUAUGAAGAGUUCCUGACACUGUGGGCAGGCCUUUUACAUCAUGUCUGCAACGAGCAUGAGUGGGCUAUGGGCAGCUGUAAACAUGGGCAGCUGGCAGACUCGGAGAAACAAUGGAUUCAAAGAGAUUCUAAAGCACACAAGGCUCUUGUGGACAUAAUCCUCAAGAAACGAUGGUUGAAGGAUGUGCACAAAUACCUGCGCUUUAGAUCAACGGCAGACCUCGGAUCCUUUCAAAAUCAUAUAUUAAUGUAUGCCAGCAAGCGCUUUGCCUUCAGUCCACCGGUGUAUGAAGCCCGAGUCAUCCUGGCAGCCGUGGACUACAACUACCAUCGGGACCGAC
Molecule: long non-coding RNA, 430 nt
Organism: Carassius carassius (crucian carp)
Lineage: Eukaryota; Metazoa; Chordata; Actinopteri; Cypriniformes; Cyprinidae
Exons: 3
Source: RefSeq, a predicted model, not a curated record